GAAUAUUGGACAAUGGGGGGCACCCUGAUCCAGCCAUGCCGCGUGUGUGAAGAAGGCCUUUUGGUUGUAAAGCACUUUCAGCGAGGAGGAGGCUACUUAGAUUAAUACUCAAGGAAAGUGGAGGUUACUCGAAGAAUAAGCACCGAAGAAUGCGGUGCCAGGAGCCGCGGUAAUACAGAGGGUGCAAGCGUUAAUCGGAUUUACUGGGCGUAAAGCGCGCGUAGGUGGCCAAUUAAGUCAAAUGUGAAAUCCCCGAGCUUAACUUGGGAAUUGCAUUCGAUACUGGUUGGCUAGAGUAUGGGAGAGGAUGGUAGAAUUCCAGGUGUAGCGGUGAAAUGCGUAGAGAUCUGGAGGAAUACCGAUGGCGAAGGCAGCCAUCUGGCCUAAUACUGACACUGAGGUGCGAAAGCAUGGGGAGCAAACA
This 424-nucleotide ribosomal RNA is filed under the name uncultured bacterium. RNAcentral describes it as "partial 16S ribosomal RNA". It matches the Rfam family "Bacterial small subunit ribosomal RNA", at positions 359 to 774 of the family's 1533-position model. The record is from RNAcentral.